Molecule: ribosomal RNA, 121 nt
Filed under: Streptomyces mashuensis
Lineage: Bacteria; Bacillati; Actinomycetota; Actinomycetes; Kitasatosporales; Streptomycetaceae
Also listed under: 1 other name
Description: partial 16S rRNA
Rfam family: Bacterial small subunit ribosomal RNA
Source: RNAcentral
UCUAAUACCGGAUACGACACGCGACCGCAUGGUCCGCGUGUGGAAAGCUCCGGCGGUGCAGGAUGAGCCCGCGGCCUAUCAGCUUGUUGGUGAGGUAAUGGCUCACCAAGGCGACGACGGG